AUGGAAUCCAGCGGGGAGGAGCUCCUGAAGAAGAUCCGGCAGCUGGAGGUGGGCCAGGCGCAGCUCAAGCAGGAGAUGUCCAAGUUCGCGCUGCCGCCGACCGGCGGCGGAGGGGAGCGCCGGCGCUCGCAGUCCGUCUCCCCCAGCCGCGGUGCGCCGCCUCAUCCUGCGCCGGCGCCGGCGCCCUCGAGGCGGCUCUCCGGGGGGCUUGAUGCAGGCCCGCGGGCGUGGGGCCGUGGCUCCGCGUCCUUCUCGCACUCGUCGCCGCUGCAGCGGGAAGGCCGUGCCGCGGCGGAGGGCGGCGCCACGGGCGCUGGGCUGGCGGAGCGGCAGUACCGCAGGGUGCUCCAGUCGCUGGGGCAGUCCGUCCACAUUCUUGACCUCGAUGGAAGGAUCAUAUACUGGAAUCGGUCUGCAGAGAAUCUCUAUGGUUAUCCUGCAUCAGAAGUACUUGGUCAGGAUGCACUCAUGCUGCUGGUUGAUUCCCGUGACCUCAGUGUGGUAAAUGAUAUGUUUCGACGUAUUUCUUUGGGUGAGAGUUGGACUGGGAAGUUUCCAGUUAAGAACAAGGCAGGGGAUAGGUUUUUAGCUGUUGGCACCAACACUCCAUUUUAUGAUGAGGAUGGCAGUUUGGUGGGCAUUAUUUGUGUUUCAAGUGAUUCACGCGCAUUGGAGGAGAUACUCAGUGGACCUUCAACCUCUGCAAGGUCCCAUUCAGAAUCAUCUAGCCCCUCCUGUUGUGAUGGCAGUUGCAGCAACAGUAAUCGAAAAGCCAGUUUGUUGAACAGAAAUCCGUUUGAUCCCCAGCAGUCUACUAUAGCCUCCAAGAUAACAAAUUUGGCUAACAAGGUCACAAAUAAAGUUCGUUCGAGGGUCAAGAUGGAUGAGAAUGGCAUGGUACGGGAAGGUGGCAGUGGUGAGAGUCAGUGUUCUGAUCGUGAUAACAAGGAAGGUCCAUCUAGUGGACCAAGUACACCAAGAGGAGAUGCACCACAUGGUGCCUUCGGCACGGAAGAGAAUUCCCCUGGGAAAUCAACCAAAACAAACGGUGAUGAAUCAGAAGCGAAAAUAGGUCUCCACAAGAUCUUGAGUUCAAAAGCAGAGGCAUUGUUGAACAAGAAAGGGAUAACAUGGCCUUGGAAAGGGCGGGAGAAUGAUGUGCCUGACUGCAGAAAUCAGGUGACCUGGCCAUCGUUGCAUAGUGAGCAAGAGAAUGGCCAGAAUCAUCCGAAAGUCUCUGACACUCAAUUGGCUGAAUACAACCAACCUAACAAAAACGAGGCAUCAGGUUCCUGGUCUUCUUUCAACAAUAACAGCUCAAGUAGUGCAAGCAGCACUGGAAGUACCAAUAGUAGUGCUCUAUACAAAAUCGACCAUGAAGCAGACUGUCUGGAUUAUGAAAUCCUGUGGGAAGAUCUUGUAAUUGGAGAACAAGUAGGCCAAGGCUCCUGUGGGACAGUAUACCAUGCUUUGUGGUAUGGCUCGGAUGUGGGUGUGAAAGUUUUCUCCAGGCAGGAAUAUUCGGAGGAAGUAAUACAGGCCUUUCGACAAGAGGUAUCCCUUAUGAAGAAAUUACGCCAUCCUAAUAUACUGCUCUUCAUGGGUGCGGUUACAUCUCCACACCGCCUUUGUAUUGUUACCGAGUUCCUCCCACGUGGAAGUUUAUUUCGCUUACUUCAAAGAAGCACUACCAAGUUGGAUUGGAGACGACGUGUUCACAUGGCUUUAGAUGUUGCAAGGGGCAUGAAUUAUCUUCAUCACUAUAGCCCACCUAUCAUUCAUCGAGAUUUAAAGUCGUCAAAUCUGCUGGUUGAUAAGAACUGGACUGUUAAGGUUGCAGAUUUUGGUCUUUCACGUCUCAAGCGUGAAACUUAUCUCACAACAAAAACAGGAAAAGGAACGCCACAAUGGAUGGCUCCAGAGGUAUUGCGCAAUGAACCUUCAGAUGAGAAGUCUGAUGUGUAUAGCUAUGGGGUGAUCCUAUGGGAACUUGUCACUCAGAAGAUACCGUGGGAAAAUCUCAAUUCAAUGCAGGUCAUUGGUGCAGUAGGUUUCAUGAACCAAAGGUUGGAGAUUCCCAGUGAAACAGAUCCUUACUGGACAUCACUUAUACUGAGUUGUUGGGAAACCGACCCACAAAGCCGUCCGUCGUUCCAAGAACUUCUGGAGAAGCUCAGGGAACUGCAAAGGAAGUAUGCUGUCCAGAAUCAGGCGCAGCGAAAUGCAUCUGCCGCUGCGAAGAACAGCAUCAUCGAGGAAUGA
RNAcentral lists this ribosomal RNA (2262 nucleotides) under Triticum aestivum (bread wheat). Its description in RNAcentral is "partial small subunit ribosomal RNA". Lineage: Eukaryota; Viridiplantae; Streptophyta; Magnoliopsida; Poales; Poaceae. The record is from RNAcentral.